GGGUGACACUGGCUCAGGGGGGCUCCAUGCUCACCCCUGCCUGACUGUGGUUCUGGAUCUGGGGUCUCAGGGGAGGUAGAAGGCACCCCUGGCCAGACUGGGGUGUUCAGGCUUGUGGAGGAAGCUGGCAUCCCCAGUCCCCCCAGGCUGGCAGCUGGGGCUUGCGGAUUGGGGGCCAGGCAGCCAGAGGCAGGCCCCAACUGGGGGGUGGGGGGCGGCCCAGGCCUUGGGUUCUAGGUCCACUCUGUCCUCCAACAGCUGUGCAGCCUCCGGCAGGGGCCUCCCCCUCUCUGGGCCUCAGUGUCCCCCUCUCCAUACCCAGGCAGCUGGGAUGGACCUGCAGGGUGCAGGAUUGGGGCAGGCUGGGGGCCUGUUCCUGGCAACGUGUGCAAACCUGGGGGCAGCAGGCCCCCUCCUCCCUCCUCCCUGCUGGUUCUCCCCAUUCUCUGCUGCUCUCUCCCCUCUUCUGAGCUCUGCACCCCCACCCACCACCGUGUGAGUCUGUCACCCAGGACUCAUGGGGAGGGGGCGUGACAGUGUGUGUGCGCAAGACUCCGAGAUGGAGACUGGGAGAGUGAAGACAGGACAGGUGGGGGAGAGGGAGCGAGAGAAGACUGAGGGGAGGGGAAAGAGGGGGAGAGGGGGAAGUGGAGAUGCAGGAAGGGAGACGCAGCAGCAGGCGGAGAUGGAGUGCACCCGAAGGCUGGGGCAACAGGCAGGGAGAGGGAAGGUCUCGGUAGAAGGAAAAGCCUUGCAGAAUAACGGGCCUUCACAGAUGCCCAGAGUGGGGUUGGGGUUUACCUGGAGCCACACAGCAUAGCUGGGACAUCAUUGGGAACAGAAUCAGACCUAAACCAUGGUGUCUCUGCCUUUGCGCAGUGGGAUGUGUGUGUGUUUUCAGCUGUGAAACUGGAUGUUUUAUCUUUGACUGAGUUUGUCUGCCAUGAGAUGACGCACCUGUGUGUGUGGGGGGGUGUCCUCUGUGAGAGCAACUAUGUCUGCAGGUGUGAGAGAGUAGCCUGUGUGCACCUGUGUAUUUCUGGGCACCAUUCCUUGAGUCCAUGAGUGGUCCCUUGGGGUGUAUGUGUGUGUGAGAAAGUGUGUAUGUGUGUGUGUCAGUAUGAGCAUAUAGAUGUGUGGAUGCUCUGCAUGAAUUUGUGUGUGCAUUGUCUAAGUGCAAAAGUGUGUGUGUGUCGUGCAUAUGAAAACCUGUACGUGUGUGAGUGUAUGGGUACAUAUCUGUGAGUGUGCACAGCUGUGUGUAGGUUGUGUGUUAGUGUUUGCAUAGGUGUGUGUGUUUGAGUGUGUGUAGUGUGUGUGGGUAUGUAUAUGCCUGUAUGACUUGGUGUGUAUGUGUGUCCCCUUGGCUCAGGGUGGCCAGUCCCUCACUAUUUUUCCAGCUGUGCCCUUGUAGUGACCCCUGGGGGGCAGUGUCCUUCCUGGACGCGUGGCUUGAGCCCAGUGCCAAGGCCGCCACCCUCCCGGAGUGCCUCUGGUGGCAGCCGGGGCCAGGCACCCCGCCUGUGGCUGUGUGGACAUCGUGGGGAACGGGUAGGGCGGAGAGCAAGCGGUGACCUGCAUUGGGGGCUGCGGUCGGUAACCCUGAGGUUGGGGAGAGGGACUCCGCGCCGUGGGAGGGGGCAGCCAGCGCAGGCGGGGAGGAGCCACGCAGGGCUGCCCGGCCCUGACCCAAAUAGCUCAGCGCUGGCACACAUCCCCCUCUCGCUUUUCUGCAGACACCCCUCUGUCUAAGCUCUCCAGUGCCAGCGCCCAGCCCCAGGAGAUCCCAGCACAUCCAAGGGGCCCCGACCCUACAGGCAGAGCCCAGGACCCACCCUGGGGCUUCCCUAGGACUCCCCGUCCCCCAUUCCACCCCGUCCCCCAUUCCACCACCGGGUCCCCCGCUCAGCCAGCCUUGCUCCUCAUUAAUCUCAAAGUCAAGGGCUUGAAUUAAACUGGGUCAGGGGACAGUUCUUCUGCCCCUCUUAGAACUGACCCAGGCUGAGCUCCCUUCCCCAGGGACCCGGUUUCUGUAAGAUUCCCACCUGGGCCCCACCCUCCAGACCCAUUUCUGUGCCCUGGCGCCCAAGCAGAACCUCAUCUCCACCCACCCCCCACUGCCCCCCACCCCCAGCGUCCUGGCUGCCCGUUCCUUCCUCGGACAGGCUGCAAGCUCCCUCUUCCAACUCCCCCACCCCAUUUUCCCAGCCCGGCCCUUAGCCCCCGCAGCCUCCUCCCCACCUCAGGUCUGAGUCCCGUCCCAGAACCGCGGAACCCCCAGCCUUUUCCCCUCCACCCUCACCAGCUCAUCUCUCUCCGGGGUCCCGCCUUAACUGGGACGUAUUUAACUGGCCUGCCCCGAUCCGAUGGGGGAGGGCUCGUCUUUAGGGCACGGAGGGGGGCCCUGUCCCCGGGUGACCCUAGAGGCUGGCUCCCCAGGCAGCUCAGGGACCCGGGAGCCCAAGAGGCCCUGCCCUCCCUCCUCUAGCACUCGGCAGUCCGGCCCCUCGCCCUCCCUUAUUUAAGGAGCCAGGGGUCUUACCGCACGCCGGUCCCCGGGGAGCCUGCGGGUAUGGGAGCCCCACGCUCCUCCCUUAGACACCCUAAGUCCGCGCCAGACCCCCACCCCCGGAGAACACAGGGAUCGGCCACCAGCCUCCUUCUCCCUCGGGACCCAGAAGCUCUGGCCUCCCGCCCCGGCCCCAGGACACCCUUGCCUGCGCCCACCUGCUGGAGCCCACAGAUGCCACACCGAUACAUGGGGACCAAGAGACCCUUGGAGGGGACCUGGGCACGUUGACGUCACCACCCAGGCAGUCCCUGUCGGAGCUACAACCAAGGUUCCCAGGAAUCUACUCCAGGGGUGACCCCCAAACCCUUGUGGAGCUAGACUUCGCCACCUGGAGACCCCACACCUGGCCUCACCAGGCGGGAAUGAGAUGGGCAGGAGGGGGGAGGAGAGGCUCACACCGCACCUGUCUCAUCCCAAUGGUGCCUCUGAUUGGCGAGAAAGGGCUGGGUGGGGAGUUGCCACAUUACUAGGGGGAAAAAUAACGGCGGUGGUGGAGAUGGUGGUGAUGGUGAUGAGAGUGGAUGGUGACACUGGUAGAGACGGGAGAGUGAGGAUAGCUGCCCCCGCAGCACACGUGCACGCACGCGCACACACACGCACACACUCAUUCACCGUUACUCCCGUGGGUCUUCUCCAGCCUGCUUCCAGUUCUGGCUGAAAGCACGUCCUCCACCACCCUCAACCGCAUGGGCUGCACGGGUCCGGAGAGGAGCAAGAUCCUGAGAUGAGCAGCUGUGAGUCAUACUAAGUGACCCCAGGCAAACCCAUGACCCUGGUCUAAUCAGAAGAAAAACAUCUGCCUUAGCCCAGACCCCAGUCUCUCGCACAUUCUACAAGGUGCCUGGUCCAAGCCGAAUGUGGCCCUUGGGAGUGCGGGGUCAGUAGCUGUGCCUGUGUCCCCGCGGGACUGCAGGAGGCUAGCAGCCCAGAAGCCAGGCGAAGCCUGUAGAGGAACGCUUUGUACUCUGCUUGUGACUUUUCUGUGCAUUUCAAGUUAUUCUAAAAUAAAAGUUUUACUUAAA
Molecule: long non-coding RNA, 3594 nt
Organism: Manis javanica (Malayan pangolin)
Lineage: Eukaryota; Metazoa; Chordata; Mammalia; Pholidota; Manidae
Source: RefSeq, a predicted model, not a curated record